AUGCAAGUCGAACGCGAAAGUUCCCUUCGGGGGGCAAGUAGAGUGGCGCACGGGUGAGUAACACGUAGGUAAUCUACCUUUGGAUUGGGAAUAACCACCGGAAACGGUGGCUAAUACCGAAUAAUGCAGCGGCACCUAAUGGUGACAGUUGUUAAAGCGGGGGAUCGUAAGACCUCGCGUCUGAAGAGGAGCCUGCGGCAGAUUAGCUAGUUGGUAAGGUAACGGCUUACCAAGGCGAUGAUCUGUAGCCGGCCUGAGAGGGCGGUCGGCCACACUGACACUGACAUACGGGUCAGACUCCUACGGGAGGCAGCAGUCGGGAAUUUUGGGCAAUGGGCGAAAGCCUGACCCAGCAACGCCGCGUGAAGGAUGAAAUCCUUCGGGAUGUAAACUUCGCAAGAACGGGAAGAAUAAGUAAGAGUUAAUAUCUCUUACGAUGACGGUACUGUUUGUAAGCUCCGGCUAACUCCGUGCCAGCAGCCGCGGUAAUACGGGGGGAGCAAGCGUUGUUCGGAUUUACUGGGCGUAAAGGGCGCGUAGGCGGCCACCGCAAGUCGACUGUGAAAUCUCCGGGCUUAACCCGGAAAGGUCAGCCGAUACUGCGGGGCUAGAGUGCA
Molecule: ribosomal RNA, 617 nt
Filed under: uncultured soil bacterium
Lineage: Bacteria
Description: bacterial SSU rRNA
Rfam family: Bacterial small subunit ribosomal RNA
Source: RNAcentral